AUGCAGAUGCAGUGGCACUGCUUUUUGAAACGCUUUUGUUUGAACCGGUGGUUGAAUGGCUGUGAGUGGCCGGCACAAAGGGUGGGGCGGGCGGCGCUGGUCGCCGGCCGUUGGUACAGCCCUGCAUGUUGUACUCCCUCCGUCCCGAAAAACAUGUUGCGCUGGUGUUUUUGCAAUUUAGUCCUCAUUGUUUUCCCGACCAAACCCGCGGUCCUCGUCGUUCUCCUCAGUCCUCACUCGACUGACGCCCGCAGAUUUGCUCGCCCCCUCCCUCCCCAUGCCCCUGCCGCCUUGCUCCCCCUCCUCUUGCCCCCGCAUCCUUGCUCCCCCACACCCCUGCCGCCGCCGCCGCCUUGCUUCCGCCCCGCCGCCCCAUGCCGCUGCCUCGUUUCCCUCCGUCCGCCGCCCGCAGAGGAACGUGAAGAUUCAGUUUUUUUGGAGAAGACCGCCCAACGCCCAACGCCCGCUCUCCUUCCGCAUGUGCCCGUCGUCGACCACCUCCUCGCCGUCGACCACGAAGCUAGCACCCUCCAUGGAGGUUUUCGACCUGAGCAGUGGGAAGCACGUGUGCCCCUUUUCCACUUCCAAGCUGGAGCACUACGCGGCUUCACCGACAUCGAUUACAUCUCGCCGGAGCAUUACGCGGCUGCACCAAGGAGUCCGCCAGAGUCAAAGGUGUCCAUCAAGUAUGGAUGGGGUGGAGUAUGA
RNAcentral lists this ribosomal RNA (708 nucleotides) under Triticum aestivum (bread wheat). RNAcentral describes it as "partial small subunit ribosomal RNA". Lineage: Eukaryota; Viridiplantae; Streptophyta; Magnoliopsida; Poales; Poaceae. The record is from RNAcentral.